CAUCCAUCCACCUAUCUGUCUGUCCAUCUAUAUAUCUGUCUGUCUGUCUGUCCGUCCGUCUAAAUGAUACCAAGCAUGUUUACACAGAUAUAUCUCCUGCAGCAUGAUGGGAAUCUUUGGGAGUUUCUGAAAGAGACACACAGCAUCUGUUGGGCACAUGUGCUGAAAGAAUAUGGCUGUGCCUAUACAGCACAUACCUCAGAGAAGCUGCCAAAAAACAUCUGUGGUUUUUCUGAAGCACGCACACAGAAAGCGGCUGUCACAAGGCAAAAUGUUCGGAGAACCUGACAAUCCCACAAUGUCUGCAUAACGAAAAAUGAAACGUUCUGAUAAAUGGAAUCUUCGUAUAACCAAGCAAAAAGGCGUUUUGAAUUUUGAAAGAACAUUCAGAAAUAAUGUUUUCAUAAUUUAAUUGAAAUGU
This is a long non-coding RNA of Onychostoma macrolepis, 421 nucleotides long. RefSeq lists it as uncharacterized. The transcript is spliced from 3 exons. Lineage: Eukaryota; Metazoa; Chordata; Actinopteri; Cypriniformes; Cyprinidae. The record is from RefSeq and is a predicted model, not a curated record.